Molecule: ribosomal RNA, 87 nt
Filed under: Agama hispida
Lineage: Eukaryota; Metazoa; Chordata; Lepidosauria; Squamata; Agamidae
Description: Tropidurus hispidus partial 16S large subunit ribosomal RNA
Source: RNAcentral
UUCAAGUCCUAGCUCAACCACCCCCUCUAACCAUUUAACCCCAAAAUCAAACAAACCAUUUGACACUACUAGUAAAGGAGAUUAAAC